GAGAGAGUGUGACUUUCCAGCUGGGACUGGGAGGGUUUCCUGCGAAUUACACUGAUAAAGUCUGUUUCCUGGAGAAAAUAGACAAGAAGCAGUUGGCAACAGGACUCGUGUACUGCAACGCAAGCACACGAGGAGUCAUUUGAACAGGAAUGGAGUCGAUAAUUCAGGAGAAAAGGCUGUUUUUCUGAUUUAAGUACAAGAGAAGUUCUGAAAAAGAAAUCUGGGGCUUUUCCUGCAUGUGUGAAGAAGAAGCUCCAUCAUGGCAGGCAAGGCAAGAACAGGGAUGAAUGCAUGACCAGAUGUGCACAUAGGAACUUACUCUGCCAAGCACAGAAUGAAUGAGAGGGAUAUGAGAGGAUCUAAGGACUCAGCUCAACUCUUCCCACUGUGCCCAUUCAUAACUGCAUUCAGU
This 412-nucleotide long non-coding RNA is filed under the name Chloebia gouldiae (Gouldian finch). RNAcentral's name for it is "Erythrura gouldiae (Gouldian finch) lncRNA (ENSEGOG00005005110.1)". The record is from RNAcentral. Lineage: Eukaryota; Metazoa; Chordata; Aves; Passeriformes; Passeridae.